AUUGAACGCUGGCGGCAGGCCUAACACAUGCAAGUCGAACGAGUGGCGGACGGGUGAGUAAUGUCUGGGAAACUGCCUGAUGGAGGGGGAUAACUACUGGAAACGGUAGCUAAUACCGCAUACCAUCGGAUGUGCCUAGAUGGGAUUAGCUAGUUGGUGGGGUAAAGGCUCACCUAGGCGACGAUCCCUAGCUGGUCUGAGAGGAUGACGAGCCACACUGGAACUGAGACACGGUCCAGACUCCUCCGGGAGGCACCAGUGGGGAAUAGGGCACAAUGGGCGCAAGCCUGAUGCAGCCAUCCCGCGUGUAUGAAGAAGGCCUUCGGGUUGUAAAGUCCUUUCAGCGGGGAGGCGUUACCCGCAGAGGAAGCACCGGCUAACUCCGUGCCAGCAGCCGCGGUAAUUC
Molecule: ribosomal RNA, 406 nt
Filed under: uncultured bacterium
Lineage: Bacteria
Description: partial 16S ribosomal RNA
Rfam family: Bacterial small subunit ribosomal RNA
Source: RNAcentral